CGUGUAGGCGGCCAAGUAAGUCUGCUGUGAAAACUCGAGGCUUAACCUCGAGCUGUCGGCGGAAACUAUUUGGCUAGAGUCCGGAAGAGGAGAAUGGAAUUCCCGGUGUAGCGGUGAAAUGCGCAGAUAUCGGGAAGAACACCCGUGGCGAAGGCGGUUCUCUGGGACGGUACUGACGCUGAGACGCGAAAGCGUGGGGAGCGAACA
This 207-nucleotide ribosomal RNA is filed under the name uncultured bacterium. RNAcentral's name for it is "partial 16S ribosomal RNA". It matches the Rfam family "Bacterial small subunit ribosomal RNA", at positions 568 to 774 of the family's 1533-position model. The record is from RNAcentral.